CAAUGAUGCCAGGGCCACGGGGGCCAGAGGAACUUAGCCCUUGCUAGAAACUGCGACCUCAGCCAAAGGACGGGGUUGGGGAACAAGCAGUGGUUUGCCUGGAGGCCAGUGGAGGAAGCUGUCCCUUUCUGAGAGCUGCAGAAUCGAGUGGCAAAUGAGUCUGACUCUCCCCAAUCCACCCUAUGGCCUGGCCUCCCAAGAAGGUGGAAGAGACACGAGGGGAGGGGCUGAGGACAUGAACGCCAG
RNAcentral lists this long non-coding RNA (246 nucleotides) under Dasypus novemcinctus (nine-banded armadillo). RNAcentral describes it as "lncRNA (ENSDNOG00000052966.1)". Lineage: Eukaryota; Metazoa; Chordata; Mammalia; Cingulata; Dasypodidae. The record is from RNAcentral.